GUGAGUAAUGCCUAGGAAUCUGCCUGGUAGUGGGGGAUAACGUCCGGAAACGGGCGCUAAUACCGCAUACGUCCUGAGGGAGAAAGUGGGGGAUCUUCGGACCUCACGCUAUCAGAUGAGCCUAGGUCGGAUUAGCUAGUUGGUGGGGUAAAGGCCUACCAAGGCGACGAUCCGUAACUGGUCUGAGAGGAUGAUCAGUCACACUGGAACUGAGACACGGUCCAGACUCCUACGGGAGGCAGCAGUGGGGAAUAUUGGACAAUGGGCGAAAGCCUGAUCCAGCCAUGCCGCGUGUGUGAAGAAGGUCUUCGGAUUGUAAAGCACUUUAAGUUGGGAGGAAGGGCAGUAAGUUAAUACCUUGCUGUUUUGACGUUACCAACAGAAUAAGCACCGGCUAACUUCGUGCCAGCAGCCGCGGUAAUACGAAGGGUGCAAGCGUUAAUCGGAAUUACUGGGCGUAAAGCGCGCGUAGGUGGUUCAGCAAGUUGGAUGUGAAAUCCCCGGGCUCAACCUGGGAACUGCAUCCAAAACUACUGAGCUAGAGUACGGU
RNAcentral lists this ribosomal RNA (550 nucleotides) under Pseudomonas aeruginosa. Its description in RNAcentral is "bacterial SSU rRNA". It matches the Rfam family "Bacterial small subunit ribosomal RNA", at positions 106 to 652 of the family's 1533-position model. Lineage: Bacteria; Pseudomonadati; Pseudomonadota; Gammaproteobacteria; Pseudomonadales; Pseudomonadaceae. The record is from RNAcentral.